This 253-nucleotide ribosomal RNA is filed under the name uncultured bacterium. Its description in RNAcentral is "partial 16S ribosomal RNA". It matches the Rfam family "Bacterial small subunit ribosomal RNA", at positions 524 to 776 of the family's 1533-position model. The record is from RNAcentral.
GACAGAGGGUGCAACCGUUGUUCGGAAUUACUGGGCGUAAAGCGCGUGUAGGCGGCCCUGCAAGUCGGAUGUGAAAUCCCACGGCUCAACCGUGGAAGUGCAUUCGAAACUGCAGGGCUAGAGUCCUGGAGAGGAAGGUGGAAUGCUUGGUGUAGAGGUGAAAUUCGUAGAUAUCGGGAGGAACACCGGUGGCGAAGGCGGCGACCUGGGUCGAGACUGACGCUGAGGCGCGAAAGCGUGGGGAGCAAACAGG